UACGUAGGGUGCAAGCGUUGUCCGGAAUUAUUGGGCGUAAAGAGCUCGUAGGCGGUCUGUCGCGUCUGCUGUGAAAACUCGGGGCUUAACCCCGGGCCUGCAGUGGGUACGGGCAGACUAGAGUGCGGUAGGGGAGACUGGAAUUCCAGGUGUAGCGGUGAAAUGCGUAGAUAUCUGGAGGAACACCGGUGGCGAAGGCGACAUCCUGGACCGGUAUUGACGCUGAGGCGCGAAAGCCAGGGGAGCAAACGGG
RNAcentral lists this ribosomal RNA (253 nucleotides) under uncultured bacterium. RNAcentral's name for it is "partial 16S ribosomal RNA". It matches the Rfam family "Bacterial small subunit ribosomal RNA", at positions 524 to 776 of the family's 1533-position model. The record is from RNAcentral.